Haemorhous mexicanus (house finch) is the source of this 12017-nucleotide long non-coding RNA. RefSeq lists it as uncharacterized. The transcript has 4 exons. NCBI's taxonomy places the organism in Eukaryota, Metazoa, Chordata, Aves, Passeriformes, Fringillidae. The record is from RefSeq and is a predicted model, not a curated record.
GACCACCAAGUUAAUACAGCUUGUUAAUGAUAAAAAAAGUCUGAACAGGUUGGUGGCGGCCCCAAGUGGCUGGGUCAGCCUGGAGCUGGAAGAAAGGAUUGUGCAUUGACAAGAAAAAGUUCACAAGCUUGGGAAACAGAAUGAGAGCCUCCCCUUUCAGCUGACCAGCAGCUCCAGAUUCCAGGCCACAGACCUUGUCCAUACAGCUGGGUUCAAUCUUUUAUUAGCAGUGGUCUCAGAAAAGUGAGCGAGGCUGCUGGUAUGCCAGAGCACACAAGGAAAGGUGUAAUUCACAUUUAUUAAAAACAAUGGUUUAUAUCCCUAGCAAUUGCUUCACUGUAGCAAGUCCAUACUCUUUUUUGUUCAUUAGUGGGCAAUAAUAGUACCUGUAGGCAGAAAGAUUGUUCUUUCCUCUUGUUCUUCUGUUUAUUUAUAGCAGUCAUGAUAACUUGCUUGCCUUUGAAGCCCUUAUUAUGAAAAUCCACAGUAGUUGGGGUUAAACAAAAGAACAGAUCUGAGAAGACAGUAGCUAUCAGGCAAGUUUUCUAAUAGUUAAAGUCAUUGGACUUCCUUAGUAAAACUUCUCUACAUGUUAAAGGGUUAUAAAAGUAGUAUAUGAAAAAGUUUAGUGUUUUCAUGUUAUAACAAAGUUUCACAUCUGUAGUUUGUUUGCACAUGUUUUUCCUUUUUUAAUUUCAAGGUUUGUUCUAGUCUCUUAAUACAUGUGUGCACAGCACUGCAGACUAGAAAAAUCUCUCACACGUGUGGGCUUUGAAAAGCAAAUACUACAAUGCAGCCAUCUAUAAUGGUGCUUUUUAGUGCUGAGUCUUUCUGCUUAAGGCAGGCUCCCUCUCAGGCCUUUACUCACUGUAGUUACAUUUGAAUCACACUUUAAAACUCUCAUAUUUUCGUAGGAACAUUAUCAGUUAACCUAUACACUGAACUGAUAAUGUGUUUUAAAAAAACCCCAACAGCUACAGCCCUGAUUCAAACCUGAGUCAGCAGAAUUGUCUCCUUAACUUCCAGAAAUCAUGGGUCGAGCUGGUGGCCAGUUACACCCUCAGACCAGUCUUCAUUUUUAUUACAUUGAUUCAGGUAUAUGAUAACAGCAACAAUUCUUGUGUUUUUAGAUAAAAAAUGUGUUUGUUUCUACCAAUUUGCCUCUCUAAUCUGUUUGUAGUGGAAGUUUUGAUGAUUUUCUUACACCUAUGUUUUUACACUUCAUAUCAUUGAUUGGGCGGUUUUAUUCCCAAAAUCUAUUUGUUUGGUUUUUAUCUUACAAUGAAAAAAUAGGGUGGAAAUGUAAUAAAUUUAUUCAGGCCCAGUGCUACCAGAUAGAAGAGGGCAACUUGCUUCUGGGAAUACAGAUCAAAUGUUGACAUGACAGAGUGGGAGGACUUAUCUUGGUAUAAAAACAGAUCCAGAUCUAAGAUGUCCUGUGCAGAAUUAGGAUUGGGACCAUAUUGAUUAAGGCAGAGAUUCUUAAACAAAAAAAGGAAAAGUUGUUUACAGAAGGUCCAGCUCAAAUAACAAUGUUCAGAAAUUUCAUAGAAGUUCUGAAGUGUCUAUCUGUUUUCUAAAGCCUUGUCCAAACCAGAGGGGAUUCUGGUAAUUUGAGUGCUCUGAAUAUGCAAUUUCUUGAACACAUUUUCUUGAGGUGAAGACUUACUAGAAAUCUAGUAACCAAUACUCAGAACUUGAACACAGUAGCAUUGUCUUCCAUAAGGACAGAGUACUUUGUAUAAUAUUCAUUGAGCACAGACUAUUUCAUGUUUUUGUCUUGCAUAUGUCCUCAUCCUGUCCUUUUGAUCAAUGAUGAUAAACCCAACAGACUGAUGUUGGAUUUGUGCCCUCUUUUUUUUCAAAGACUGCUGAACUCUUACAUUGCUCAGUCAAACCUCUCAAAUCAUUUUUAGUGCAGAUCAGAAAACAUGCAGGACAUUUAUCCAAAAAUACAAUGCCUGGAAAAAUUCAGGAAAGCCUGGCUGCCUCUAGGUUGUGAAGGGACAAAAAAAAUCCACAAAGAAUAAAUAUACCUUACUGUGUCUGCUUUAUGUUUGGCUGCUUUAAAAAUAUCAUAGCAAAUUGAUCCAAAAGAUCUUCAAUAUAAUUCUUACAAAAUGUUAGGUAUAAGUUCAUAGCAAACAAUUUAAUGUUCAUUACUACCCAUGAAUAAUUUGGAAUCUAGCAAUAGUAGAAAACUAUUGGCUUUGUAUGAGGGUAGAGUAGCAAAUUAGGUGUAGCUGUGCAGUGCAGCAAAGUCAGGCAAACAUGCAUGCAGAAUGUGUUCAUAAUAAAGCCUCUAUUAGUUAAGUCUUUUAUCUUUUGUUUUUUGCUUUUGCAAAAAAAUAAAUGCAAAAUUUUGCAGCUUUGCAUGUAUUUCCCCUUUUUGACUGUUUCAGUUUCAGACUGUUACCUUUAGUGGUGUUAAGGAUCUAGUGUGGCAUGAUCCUGCAGUCCUUACUUGUUUGAUUUCAAUGGAAGUUCUCCUGGAUGAGAAAGGUGUCAUCAGUUCUUUAGCUGCCUUUCAAGGGAGGGACCCCAUUAUUAUGUGUGAGCAUUCUUUUGUGCAUCAGUGGUGCUACAUAAAUUAUACGUCAUAAUAUUUGCUAUUAAAUUAUUCACAGAGUCAUAAGUCUCCCCUAUUCAGAAUUUCCUUUAUAUAGUUUAAAUAGGUUAAAGAAGUUGUUUCCAUAAAUAAUGUCUCAGUCUGUGCCUACAGUGAAUUUAGAAAAUAUUUUAAAUAUUUUUUCAUUAUUUGAAAGUAAUCUGUUUCGAAGAACUUCUGUGCUUCAUUUUUGUAUGAACACUCUUCUUCAAGUACAGCAGACAGAAACUGAAGAUAAGAUCUAAAUUUGAUGUCAGCUACCAUAUUUAUAUGAAAACUUUUAAGGAGUCUGAAAGUAAAGAAGAACUCCAAAUUCAGCUAUAAAAAAUCUUCAAAUAAAGCCACGCUCUAAAAAGUAGUGCAGAUUCUUAUUGAUGUUCAUCAAACUUGUAUCCAAACCAUAAUAUUUGACCUAAGUUACUAUCUGUGAGUUAAGUUCUGAAAGUAUUUUCUUUAUAAUCUAUUUCUAGUUUGAAACCUGAUAGAAGAUAUGUUAGUAUUUGAGAGAUGCUGUAUUUGAGUGAAAAUACUAGGAAAUAAAUUGAAAAAUGUCCACCAGUACAUAUGAAGAGUUGUGUGUGUUCUAUAAUUUUGCCACCAGCAUACUUUAUGGAAGACUCUUAAUCCUCAUGUUUUCCAAGUCAUGUAUGUUUUAUGAUGAAUGCACAGAGCCAGAACUUAAAGGGAUCCAUAAAUGUUAUAUUUUGGACACUUUCAUUAGCUUGCUUCCUUGGGAGUGUUGUAACUGCUAUCUAGAACAGCUGGUAUGAGCUGUUUUAUUGCACAAAUAAUCCUACAGGUUUUGUGUCAUUCUUAUUUGUCAUCUUUGUAUCAGCAGAGAAGGAGCUGGCAAUACUGGAAUACUGGAGAAAAACCUGGACAUUUGGGUGACCAAUAAGGUCAUCUUAGUUCAUCUUUGUAGCUUGUGUUUUUGAAUUUUGUUAUUAUUAGCAGCUUUUUCACAUAUUUGUCAGAAAACACGUGGCUGUCAUCCUUCUAUGGAACCAUGUAAAGACAGAGUUGAAAUUCUUUAGGAAGUGUGUGAUGGCAAAAGGAUUGGGCUCCCACCAAUAUCUUUGCUGCACCAUUUGAUGUCAGCCUGCUGUUAGAUUUCUGCCAACCUUUAGGAAAGCAUUCUUUAUUUUGCUACAUGUUUAAGAAGUUCUUGUGAUUGAAAUAACUGUAGUUACCAAAUAGUAGAGCAGCCACAGUUAAUUAUUAGUCCACCAUCAAUAAGGAAGGGAGGUGCUGGUUAUCCUGAGUCCUAUAUCCACAAAUAUCCAGUAAUACUUUAAAGUUGCUUUUGCAGCUUCACUGCAGUUUCUGUCUAACACUAGAACUACAUACAAGAGCUGAGUUGACAUGCAGCACUCCUUGAGAUGAUUAUUCUAAUGUGGCUGCAAUCAAUGGGUAUUUUCCACAUUUAAUUGGAGUUUGUUUGGGGAUUCUUUCAGGAAUGUUGAAAUCUGCCUUAAGGGACAAACUUGGCCUAUGGAUUAUUAGACUAAACACAUUUUAAGUACAAAAUUUAUCUACAAUUAGCUUGACUGUUUGUAAUGAAAAGAUGGCUGAAACCACAGUCUUGUGAUUUUAUGUCUAUGGUACGCAGUGUACAAAGUAAAGCAUUAAUUCUAAAUAAAAUCAUUUUGCAAGCAGGUAUCUUCAAAUUACCUAAUCGCUCAUAGUACUUUCCAAAAAUACCUUUAAAGCCAUCCCAGACUGCGUUUGUAAAAAAGGUAUUUGCAUGUUUGUGCUUUUCUGUGUUUUAUUUAGUUGAUUUUUUUAAAUGAAAAAAGCUUAUUUGCUUGCCAGUUUUUAAUUGCUUUGACAAUUUUUACUGCAUUGUUACUCUGGAUGUAAACCUAUUAGCUGUGUUACUUAAAUCAAUUAGAUGUAUGUAGAUCUGUUGGAUAGUACUGCACAUUCAUGUUCUUCUCUGCUUGCAGCUGUGUCUUGGACAUUGGUGUAUUUGUGGUUGAGAACAAUUAGCUGAAAAGCCUUUCGUUUAUUUUGCCAGACAGAGGGCAAGUGACCCUGAGAAAUUUGGUGGUGAUACAUAUUUUACUUGCUUGGUUUUCAGUUCUGAGUAUGAAUGAGUAAAAGUUUUUGAGCCACUAAUCCAGUAAAUACAAUAGCCAGGACUCCUUAAGGGUAGUCUCAGUAUUGUAUCCAUGUCCUGCUCAUAUGGAAGCAAAGACAAGAUGCAAGGGAUGUGGUUUAAUUAGACCUCAAUUUUAUUAGCUUAGCCAUCUGGGAUUUACUGGCAUAAAUUUGUACAGUGGAGGUCAAGAUCCUUUCUUUAAUCAUUUCCUUCUGGUGUAAGUUGCUAUCAGUGCCCCAUUCCCACACAGCUGGUCCCCAGCCUGUUAUUGGGACUCCACUCUACAUGCUUUUAAUCCAAAUGAUAAGAGGUCUGGAAGAGAGAUUGUGUCUUUGGUGUAGUUCAGACAUUAACCCCAAAGAUAAUCUUUAGCUUUUUUAAGAGUCACUUUCUCCUAACUUCGUUUUCCAUUUCAGACUUUUAAAGCCAGCACCAAGAUGAGGUUUAAAGGAAGGAUAGAGUUCAUGUUCCUUGUUUCUGCAGUUGUGGUAGAAGGCAUAGGGCUAGGAUCAGUUUGCCCAUUAAUUCAUGUUAUUGACUCCAAAGGGAUAUUAGUUCCUUUUCUUUUUCUGACUUCGGUUCAUCUGUUCAGCUCUGCUUCCAUGUGUCCAAGUUCUGUGGCAUUUUUUUUUUUCUUUUUUUUUUUUUUUUUUUUUUUUUUUACUUUUUGGGCACUAAAGAAAAUAUUGUUUGACCUAUCUUAGUACAAGUUUAGCCUUAUACAUUACAUUGAGGGAAGUGUUUGUUUUAGUGAAAAAUACUAGUUAAUUUCUAUUAAAUCUGUAUAUAACUGUAUAUUUAAGUAAUAAUACCUGAAUACCUGAGCAGAUGUUCAGGGAACAGAAUCCCUACCUAAGAGGGAGAAUUCUGUUUAGAUCAUUGUUUUCUAUUCUAUGGGUUUGUGGCUUCAUUUCUAGAAAAAUGAUCCUUCCCAACUGAGUCUUCCUCAAUUAGCUGUGCCUUACCCACGAAAUUUGAGAAGAUCUCCCUGUUCAACAGCAAGCUCUUUUUCAUAUACCUGGAUGCAAUGGACAUUUCUUAGGCAUAUUUUAUUCAAAUAAAUAAAGAAAUUGUGAUCAAUGUAAUGCACAUACUAAGUAAUUAAUUGCAUAUGCUUUCUCUAGCUCUUACAAUUGCAAGAAUUGAAAUGAUCCAAAUAAAAAAGUAAUUUUUCACUUCUGAAUUUGAAUAAUUUGCUCCAUAAUAUUAGUAUCUAAAACCUGUUUGAAUCAAAUGCUGUUUCAUUCACUGUUGAAAAAAUAGUUAAUGUUGACUGUCAGAAGCUAUGGAGUUUACAUCUGUACAUCAUAAAUUUCACUAUCAUCUGCUCCUUUUUCUACUUAAAAAGAAAAAAAAAUUCCCCUGCUUAAAAAAGAAAGGAAAAAAAGGGGCCUUUGAAGGCAUCAGACCCUUUUGUUUGAAGUGUGGAAUAAGAUUAAUAAAAACGUGCCACUACAUUAGCUUUUAAAUAGCUAGCAUGAGACACUGCUGCUGUCUAUACUCACCACAACUUUAAUUUAUGUAGAUAACAUGUUUUAGACACAUGAUAGUUUUAGCUUUGAGUUAGGCCUCUUUCUUGGGGAAGAUCUCAGAUUUGUGACUGUGUUUAUCUUCUGUGCAAGGACAAUUAACUGGGUAAUGCCAAAACACAAUAGCAUUUGAUAUUUUGAAGAAUAAAAGAAAAAUAUUUCAUGUAUCCAGCUGGUUUACAGAUGUGUAAGCUUUGUAGUCCAUUCUCUUGCUCCAGCGUGGCAUUGUGACUGUAUGCCCAAUAUAUCUAAAACAGAUAAAUAUUGGAAGAGAAAAUGCCUUUUCAAAUGUUAAGGGUUUUUUUUAAUUUAUAAUAAUUUCUAUUAACACAAAUCAUCAUCAAAUCUUGUAGUUGUAAUCUUAGAAUUGCAAGAAUAUCUACAUAAAUAUUAAAUUAUUUUCAUGUAGUUGACACACCUGCAGCAUGUUGAAUACAGGUCUUCAGGUGUUACAAGUUGCUAAGACCCUUUUAUUAGCAGAAUUUUAUAUGUUUAAACUACAAGAGAGAAUUUUUAAAAAAUUUUAUUCUACUGGCACCAAAUACUUCAGAUGGUGGAAAAGUGAAUGGAGAACAAAUAAUCUCUUUAAGUAUAGGAUGGAAGUUUUUUCUGUCAUGUCCUGUUUUAUACAAUAAUCAAAGAUGUUGAUGUAUUCUUUAAAGCUGCUGUAUCUUCAUGUUUAUUCACCUACAUUCUGUAAUGUCAAUUAUGGAAGAAGAAAUUCAUUUGGGCAUUACACACUGAAUCUCCCACAUUUUUGGAAUUGAAAAAGCUAAUGUAGAAAGUUGGUUUCCAAAAUGAGUUCAACUUUUCAAAAGUUCAUUAUAUAUUUCUUUUUAAAUUUGAAGACUAAAUGUUUGGGACAGUGUGAAAAUUAACAAGGUUUGUAAACAACUGGUUGAGAAAAGCAGUUCUCUUUCAGCAAUGGAAUGGAAAUAUCUCCAGUUUCAAGAGAUAGUUGGAAUUUGGUCAGUACAUUUCUCUACUCUCAUCACGUAAGCCAGUGUAAAUGGAAAAAAAAUAUGCACAGUUCUUGAUAUUUUUUUGAGUCAAUACUGAGUACAUGAAAAUCAACCACAUAUUGCACUUCUCUCAAACUGCUCCAAAUGAAGAAAGGAAUUUUAGUCUUAAAUUUUGGGCUUUUUUAGAAGAGUCUAGGAAGUCAUCCCAGGCAGAUUGUGAAGAAUGAACUCCGUUGUCUGGCCCCUGAAAGAGACUCCUGAUGAUUUAAAGAGAGAGCUUUGACUUAAAUAUACUGAUUUACCAAAAAAAGGGGUACCAGAGCUCCCUCAUUUUAUCAGUCUUGGAUAAAGUUUGGGAGGUGUGGCUAUUUUGUUCUCAGUGAUUCAGUUUUAACUUGUAUUCUUAUGUUCAUGGAAAUUAUUUUAAAGGGCUCCUGUAAGUAAUGAUUAUCAAAAGAACAGUUUUAUGAAAAUAUCAUCAGAAUAUGCAAUUGCAUGGUAGAUUCUCUUUAGGUUUGGUUAUACAGCUCUUGCCUUCUUUUUCCCAAAUGUGUUUGGAGAACUGCAUGUGCAUGUGGAGAUGGUAUGAUUGGUAGCUUGGAAAUGGGAGAGUUCCUUUGAGUAGGGGAGUCCUAACUGCAGUUGAGCUCUGUAAAGUGUCCUAGCCUUAGGAGCUGGAAGCACCAGGAAUCCCUGUAACCUCUUACUGCUCUUACCCUUUAGCAUUCUACAUCACACUUGUGCCAUUAGAUUUUUGUUCCAUUCCUUUCUCCCCCGUGUUCUUUCAUUUCUACCUUUGCUCUUCUUUGCCUUCUUCCCCUCUUUGGUGUAGUGCCUAUAUCCUUUCUGCCAAAGCAGCUCUUCUGUUAGCUCAAAUCUAGUUUUUCAUAGGGUGAGCUAUGUAAAUUCCAGGGGAGACAGGUUUCACAUGGCUUUUUGGGUUCUUAAAUAGAAAGCAAUACGUAAACUGUUCCAUUUUAAAUCAUAUGCAACUUUCUGGUAAUUUACAGCAAACAUCGAGUGCUUUUGCCUCUUUCUUGGCAGCAGCUGAAUGGAAACAUGGGCUUAGGACUCAAACUGCUUUUUGAAGACAUUGUUUCUAGUAUUGACAGUGAAAGGUGCAUUUUGGAGAAGGAUGAGUGUUUUCUGUGGCUCUUUUUUGUUAUAAGAGAAUGGAUCCAAUGGUUUUCCCAUUUCAAAUAAUUUGAAUCUUUGAGACAUGUCUAUUAAAUGUGAAUAACUGUAAAAUCCAAAAUUUCUAGUUUAAAUGGUGCAUAACAUGCUUAUCUAUUACAACUGCUUUGUAGGAAAUAGUAUAUUGAAAAAACUGAAGUUAACUUUAUUCUGUCUGCAAUCAUUAAGCACCAUCUAUACACACAUAUGUAUUUAGCAUAAAUUUUCAUACACUCAUUUUAUUAAACAGAUUGGCUUCUGUGCUCUGUUGUUUCAAGUCAUACUUUAAAUAUUAUUUACAUUGAAAUUCUUAAUUAAUGAUGCUUUAUUAAAGCACUUGUGGAGUGUAGCCACUACAGUGUUAAGUAAUAUUCUAAAAAUAGAGGUUCUAUCAGCAUUCUUCAUUUAAUAUUAAAAUUGGUUAAAUGUGCUUAAUGUCAUCCAUUGAAAUAAAUUAAAAUGUAAAAGAAAUCAGAAAAAUUACUACUAGUAGGAAAAUAGAACUGAGUGAAGUAGGAUUAUGGAACAAUUACAUAUCUACAAUUAAGGGUUAACAGAGCUGUGGCAAGCUCUGUGAUUACCAUAGCUGUGGUCAACAUUCAGUUUUGUUUGCUGCUGCGGUGUUUUUUGGUCAGCAUGUCUAACCACCAUCACCACAGCAAAACCUUUUAAUUGCUGAACAGAUGUAUUUCUUGGUUGUUUUCAUCAUGACUGAACUGAGGGUUUAAUGUUGAUGAGAGCACCAGGAGUGCCACCUUCCCCCAGCCAUGCCUUCAGUUACUUGGAUCAAGAGUGUCUCCUGUUGACCACAUUGAGCAUAUAUACACUAAAUAUUGCCAGGGACACAGGCCACUGUUGGAAUAUGCUGUGUUGUAACACACACAGACAUCAUCUAGACAAUCCAGGACAGUGUGAUUUAUACUGGUUUUUUUCUGGAUAUUCCUUCCUUUUCAUAGAGCUUAAAUAACUUAAAGACCAACCAUGAUGCUUCAUUAGCAAAAGGGGAAGAACUGAAUGAACAGCUUAAAGAGGGGCAGUUAAAAUUGUUCCAAAUUCAAAACAAAUUGCCAUCAGUAGCUAUUUCAAACAGAGGGACAAAGGAGGUGAGGCUGUGGGGAAGAGCUAGAAUCUUUUACUUUAGGUAGUGCAUACAGAUAAGGGAAAAUAAAUGUUUGGGUACAUUUCAAUGGAGGAGAUGUGAAUAGACCUUUCAAACAUUUUUAGAAGACGACCUGGUACUAUAUAUAUUUUUAUCUUAUUCAAAAGAAAAACUUCUGACCAAAAUGCUGUUUGUAUUUCAUAGAACUGUGAACCACACCUGAUCCAAACCACCAGUGUUUGGACAAUAUUUGAAGUUAAAGUAUAGGACAUAAUGUAAAUUCUGGUAGUAAAAAAGUGAUUUAUUAAUAGAAAAAAACCAUAAUACUUGGUUUAUUGCUAGUUUUUAGUAUUCUUUGAACCUGAUUUAAUUAGAGUUCAGUGUUACAUCUUACACAGCAGUUCAAAUCACUCACUUCUAUUUCUUUGUCUAGUGACUCUGAGAGACUUCUGUCAUCACUAACAAGUUACCCAGAUACAGAGCUAAACAUCAGAUGGGGAAUGGUUUCUUCCCCAUUUUCUUCAAUGUAUAAGAAAUAAAAAUGUGAAAACCUACUUGAUUUUUCUUGCAUUUUGUAGCAACUUAUAUUUACUUUUGCCACCUGCUUUACCUGUUGUAAAUAAAUGUAUUUUACAUGACCCAAUUUUACCUCAUAGAUAUUUUUGCCAAGAAUUUUAAAUGUUGUAAUGCAUGGAGGGUAGAUAUUCUCUAUGUAAGUAUCUCAUGUCUUUAAACCAGAUCCUGCUGUAGUGAGUGUUUUGGAAGCAAGGGUGUUUUGUUUCUAUAAUGUCACUAAAAAUAUUUUCUAUGCAAAAGCCAUGCCCUAGCUAAUACUGAUAUUCACUGACUAAAAGGGAAUUUAAAAAUAUAACACUCCAGGUUUUUAUAUUGUUUUGCAUAAGACAGAAUGUGAUUAGAAACUGUUGAUCAGCUGCAACAUGCUACUCUCAGCUACAUCUGAACAGCAUGGAAAAGACUUUGGGCUAAUGUAAAUAAAUCCAUGUGAAUUUAUCUUAUAAAGCUUCUGAGAGACAGUUGUAUGAAAAGAACAAAUAAUAGCCUGACACUGCCUAAAAAUUAUUUGCUAUUUCUGUUCACACAUUCGUUGUAAUUUCAUUUAAGAAAUGCUGUGCAUUUCUUGAAACUUUUCUCUUCAUUUAAUUAUAGGAAAGAAUAAACAUCUAGAAAAAGAGAAUGAGCUCUUGAACAUAAACUAUGAUAAGCUGUGUAAGGAAGGAGAAAAAUCUGGAUUAAAAUUACAUCACUUGGCUUUAUGAAGCCAUGAAUUACAUCAAAUGAAAGAAUGCAGCAGCUGAGUGUAGAAUGCAGAUGAAACAAUCUCCCUGCAGAGGACACUCCACUGUCACUUCCAAACCCAGCAGGUGUCACAGGAGUGACUGUAGCUAUAGAACUGUGCUCAGUGAUUCCCCAGAAGAUGAGCAGAACUUGAAUGUGAAGAUACUGAUUUUGCUGAAUCUGUUUGAAAAAUAUAUUCCAGAAGCAAAGAAAUACCAUUGAACAAGACAUUGGUGGUUUUGAUUCCCAAGAUGACAGUGCAGUAAUUGGAAAGCUCAGAGGAGCAGUGGAAGCCCUCCAUGGGCUGCCCUCAGUCGAGAGGGGAAUGCAAAGAUGACUACGAGGCAUGAAAGGAAGUUUGCCUACAGAGGAGCCUUCUCCCAGUGUAAAUACAUGCUUGAUAGUGCAUCAAAGAUGAGAUCUUUGUAAUUCCUGCAGUAUAUUUAAUGUAUAAUUGAUAUGAAAAGGACGCUUGAUUUGUAGUUGUAAAGUUUUGUAUACUUUUCAGUCUGUUUGUUUUUAUAUUUCCCCCCUAAGGCUAAGAAUAUCUCCACAAUGGACAACGUCUUGUAAAUAAUUAAUACCUACAUGAUUGAACGACGUGCUUUAUUUGCAUUUUUAAGAUUUUUUCCUACAUAAAACAGUAAUAAAAAUGCAAGUCAAAAUUUUAAUUUUUAAUAAAAAAACCAUAAGCCUUAGAAAACUGAUUAAAAAUACUUUUAUGUUAUCCCUAAUCACCCCGUUAAAUGGAAUGCCUGUGAUUAGCCUCAUUAAGAAUUUUAUACUGUGAAGAUUUUAUUAAAAGCAAUAUAUGAAAAUUACUUGGAUUAAUGUGUUAAUCUGCCUCUUUAAAAUGCUAAUAUCCAUUUUAUGCACAUUAAAUCUCAGUAUGUGUUUUCUUUGAUGCAUGCAGUUCCUAUCAAUUAAAUAUAAAAAAUUAGGCUAGUUGCAGGACUUAUUAAAUUACUGCACCCUUUUUUAAAAUAACUUUUACCCUUCUACUGGCAUUAUAAUCAGCUGUUUAUGGUUACCAUAAUUUGAAGUAGGGGGAGGGCAGGAACAAUAAUUUUCUGUACAGGAGAUGAUUUACUUGCAGCCAACAUCUGUCAAAGCACAAAAAGAAGCCAUAGAGUAUCAGAUUUUGCUUCACCUGCUUUGGGCUUUAGGGAUGGGCAACUGUUUUCAUUUGGGUUUUGUCACUUUUAGAACUUACAUCAAACAUAUACAAUAAAUUGUUGUAUCUGAAUAA